RNAcentral lists this non-coding RNA (87 nucleotides) under Pseudomonas baetica. The record is from RNAcentral. Lineage: Bacteria; Pseudomonadati; Pseudomonadota; Gammaproteobacteria; Pseudomonadales; Pseudomonadaceae.
GUGGGAGGGGGCUUGCUCCCGAAUGCGGCGUGUCAGCUAAAUGAAUGUCGACUGAUACCCCCUCUUCGGGAGCAAGCCCCCUCCCAC